GACAAUCAGUGAGCUUACAACCA
RNAcentral lists this non-coding RNA (23 nucleotides) under Rattus norvegicus (Norway rat). Lineage: Eukaryota; Metazoa; Chordata; Mammalia; Rodentia; Muridae. The record is from RNAcentral.